This 82-nucleotide microRNA precursor is filed under the name Cephalotus follicularis. Its description in RNAcentral is "mir-395 microRNA precursor family". It matches the Rfam family "mir-395 microRNA precursor family". From Rfam's summary of the family: mir-395 was identified in both Arabidopsis thaliana and Oryza sativa computationally and was later experimentally verified. mir-395 is thought to target mRNAs coding for ATP sulphurylases. The record is from Rfam by way of RNAcentral. Lineage: Eukaryota; Viridiplantae; Streptophyta; Magnoliopsida; Oxalidales; Cephalotaceae.
UUUUCCCCUGGAGUUCCCUUGAGCACUUCAUUGGGGUUAUCCUGUACCCUACUGAAGUGUUUGGGGGAACUCUGGGUGCCAC